GUAGACAACCACCAGCUAAUCUCUAUUGGCUUGGGAUUUUGUGGUUUAGAAAAUACUCAUCACCUGCAUUGUCCUAAUGAUUUAUGAUGAGUGGGAUCAUAAUUUGUGAGUGCUGGUGUCCUCUGCAGGAACACAGGCUUAACAUCUUGUUCAAGGGUACCAGUUGGUAAGCUCCAGAAUUUAAACCUAGGACAUGGAUUCUACUGCCUUACUCUGCUCUUCACGUCACACUGGAGCAGAAUAACUUGACUCAGGAUGGUUGGAGAAAGAGAGGUGGAAGAAGGCUGAGAAAAAUAGUGAAGAUGGAAGACUUUGUUUUGGGAUCUUUCAGAAUCUCUACUCUCAAGUGGUCCAUUUUCUUGGACUACUAUCCAGAGAUAAGAUGAGAAUAAAGCCUACUAGAUAUUUAAUGUAAUCACCAUGAUAAUGGCUAAGAUUUAUUAAGCAUCUGCUAUGUGCUUUAUGGUGCUAAGAACUUCUCAUGUAUUUACUCAUUGAAUCUUCACAAAAACCUUAUGAAGCAUCAGAGCUGAUGAAUACUCAGUCAGAAGAAAUGCAGGCCUGCAGGUUUGUCCACAAAGUGUUCCCAUCAACCGUACAAGUACUCUGAUGUUGGAGGCCAAGGGGGAGAUAAACGAGCAAGGGACGGCUCUCUCAAAUGUUACUGUCUAUAUGAAUCCACCUUGGGAUAUUAGUAAAAUGAGUUUCUGAUACAGAAGAUCUAGAAAGCGCCUGAAAUGCUGAUAUUCUGUCUCCCAGGGUGGAGGAGUUCAGCUAUUACCUUGACUUUGCCGAAGUCCUAGGCACUCCCAUGCCCUCAGAGUCUCAUUUUGAAUCCAGGCACUUAGGGAUGCUAUUUUUCCACAUCAAACAGCUUCCUCCCAGCCAAAGAAUUCUGGUGACAGUAGUGAAGAUAAUUUUCACUCCUGCUUACAGAAUGACAAAGCAAAAGCAAAGAGGAGAAGAAUGAAGUAAAGACAACCAAAGGAAAAGACUGAUGGCUCCUUAAGAAUGAUCUUGAUAAAGGAAUGGUGGCUGAGGGGUCCAUCUCCUAAACCACCCACCUUACUGACUCCCUAGAGCAAUGCCAUACAGAAAGCUGCACCUUGAGGGGAAGACACAAGAAUCCUGGAGUGGAAAAAAAUUGGGUAAUGAUGACAGCCUUCGAGGUCUUGAGAGUAAAGCAGAAGCAAAAAAAAAGUGUUAUUUUUAUCUUUUGAAGAUGGUUCCCUCUUAAGACUUUUGCGAAUGAUUAAGAUUUCAAUUAUGUUCCAGGAAAAAAAUAAGAUUUUUGCUUGACAAAAAAAAUUUUUGUCUAGAACAGGUGGGAAGGAAGAGAUAGUUUAGCCACAUCCAAGAGACCUGUAAAUUGGGUACAGUGAAGUGAAUGGUGUACCAGUCAUAAAAGAAUGUUAACUGGAGAAGUCUCUGCUGUCUUCCUGUAACUGAGGGGGGUGUAACCAUCCUUGUGGAAGCGUCCACUUUUAUUGAAGAUUGGCUAAAUAAAUCUGUGCCUACUGAAACUCAAG
Molecule: long non-coding RNA, 1529 nt
Filed under: Homo sapiens (human)
Lineage: Eukaryota; Metazoa; Chordata; Mammalia; Primates; Hominidae
Description: non-protein coding LINC02180:13
Source: RNAcentral